Molecule: ribosomal RNA, 253 nt
Filed under: uncultured bacterium
Lineage: Bacteria
Description: partial 16S ribosomal RNA
Rfam family: Bacterial small subunit ribosomal RNA
Source: RNAcentral
UACGUAGGUGGCAAGCGUUGUCCGGAUUCACUGGGUGUAAAGGGUGCGCAGGCGGAUUGGUAAGUCAGAGGUGAAAUCUCACGGCUUAACCGUGAAACUGCCUUUGAUACUGCUAAUCUUGAGUUAGGGAGAGGUUGAUGGAAUUCCAGGUGUAGCGGUGAAAUGCGUAGAUAUCUGGAAGAACACCAGUGGCGAAGGCGGCCAACUGGCCCUUAACUGACGCUCAUGCACGAAAGCGUGGGUAGCGAACAGG